CACUCCUGCGGGAGGCAGCAGUGGGGAAUUUUGGACAAUGGGCGAAAGCCUGAUCCAGCCAUGCCGCGUGCAGGAUGAAGGCCUUCGGGUUGUAAACUGCUUUUGUACGGAACGAAACGGCCUUUUCUAAUAAAGAGGGCUAAUGACGGUACCGUAAGAAUAAGCACCGGCUAACUACGUGCCAGCAGCCGCGGUAAUACGUAGGGUGCAAGCGUUAAUCGGCAUUACUGGGCGUAAAGCGUGCGCAGGCGGUUAUGUAAGACAGGUGUGAAAUCCCCGGGCUCAACCUGGGAACUGCAUCUGUGACUGCAUAGCUAGAGUACGGUAGAGGGGGAUGGAAUUCCGCGUGUAGCAGUGAAAUGCGUAGAUAUGCGGAGGAACACCGAUGGCGAAGGCAAUCCCCUGGACCUGUACUGACGCUCAUGCACGAAAGCGUGGGGAGCAAACAGGAUUAGAUACCCCAGUAGUCCC
Molecule: ribosomal RNA, 471 nt
Filed under: uncultured organism
Description: partial 16S ribosomal RNA
Rfam family: Bacterial small subunit ribosomal RNA
Source: RNAcentral